GUUUCCUUAAGAUUAGAUC
This 19-nucleotide small nuclear RNA is filed under the name Arabidopsis thaliana (thale cress). Its description in RNAcentral is "snRNA_17126". Lineage: Eukaryota; Viridiplantae; Streptophyta; Magnoliopsida; Brassicales; Brassicaceae. The record is from RNAcentral.